GCCUCUAUAGCUCAGUGGUAGAGCGCUUGACGUGAGUGAAGCCGUAUAUUAUCCCUCGUAAACCAUUAACUAACAAGCCAAAAGUUGUAUAUGAUAUCAAGAGGUCCGUGGUUCAAUCCCGCGUGGAGGCA
Molecule: transfer RNA, 131 nt
Filed under: Aspergillus minisclerotigenes
Lineage: Eukaryota; Fungi; Ascomycota; Eurotiomycetes; Eurotiales; Aspergillaceae
Rfam family: tRNA
About the family: Transfer RNA (tRNA) molecules are approximately 80 nucleotides in length. Their secondary structure includes four short double-helical elements and three loops (D, anti-codon, and T loops).
Source: Rfam by way of RNAcentral